UGCAUAAAAUGGAGGCCAGUGCUAAU
This 26-nucleotide non-coding RNA is filed under the name Homo sapiens (human). Lineage: Eukaryota; Metazoa; Chordata; Mammalia; Primates; Hominidae. The record is from RNAcentral.